GGGGAUGUAGCUCAGCUGGGAGAGCGCCUGGUUUGCAACCAGGAGGUCAGCGGUUCGAUCCCGCUCAUCUCCACCA
Molecule: transfer RNA, 76 nt
Filed under: Candidatus Tectomicrobia bacterium RIFCSPLOWO2_02_FULL_70_19
Lineage: Bacteria; Pseudomonadati; Candidatus Tectimicrobiota
Also listed under: 1 other name
Description: tRNA-Ala
Rfam family: tRNA
About the family: Transfer RNA (tRNA) molecules are approximately 80 nucleotides in length. Their secondary structure includes four short double-helical elements and three loops (D, anti-codon, and T loops). Further hydrogen bonds mediate the characteristic L-shaped molecular structure. tRNAs have two regions of fundamental functional importance: the anti-codon, which is responsible for specific mRNA codon recognition, and the 3' end, to which the tRNAs corresponding amino acid is attached (by aminoacyl-tRNA synthetases). tRNAs cope with the degeneracy of the genetic code in two manners: having more than one tRNA (with a specific anti-codon) for a particular amino acid; and 'wobble' base-pairing, i.e. permitting non-standard base-pairing at the 3rd anti-codon position.
Source: RNAcentral